CCCUCAAGAUGAGAUUUCCCAUUCCGCAAGGAAGUAAGAUCCCUGAAAGAUGAUCAGGUUGAUAGGUCUGAGGUGGAAGCGUGGUGACACGUGGAGCUGACAGAUACUAAUAGAUCGAGGACUUAACCUA
RNAcentral lists this ribosomal RNA (130 nucleotides) under Bacillus altitudinis. RNAcentral's name for it is "23S rRNA. Bacterial LSU". It matches the Rfam family "Bacterial large subunit ribosomal RNA", at positions 2796 to 2925 of the family's 2925-position model. RNAcentral also lists the same sequence under 1 other name. The record is from RNAcentral. Lineage: Bacteria; Bacillati; Bacillota; Bacilli; Caryophanales; Bacillaceae.